Molecule: ribosomal RNA, 138 nt
Filed under: uncultured eukaryote
Lineage: Eukaryota
Description: partial 18S ribosomal RNA
Rfam family: Eukaryotic small subunit ribosomal RNA
Source: RNAcentral
UGGUGGAGUGAUUUGUCUGGUUAAUUCCGAUAACGAACGAGACCUUAACCUGCUAAAUAGCCAGGCCGUCUUUGGAUGGUCGCCGGCUUCUUAGAGGGACUGUCAGUGUCUAACUGACGGAAGUUUGAGGCAAUAACA